Molecule: ribosomal RNA, 253 nt
Filed under: uncultured bacterium
Lineage: Bacteria
Description: partial 16S ribosomal RNA
Rfam family: Bacterial small subunit ribosomal RNA
Source: RNAcentral
UACGUAGGGUGCAAGCGUUAAUCGGAAUUACUGGGCGUAAAGCGUGCGUAGUCGGUUAUUUAAGUCGGGCGUGAAAGCCCCGGGCUCAACCUGGGAAUUGCGUUCGAUACUGGAUAGCUAGAGUUCGGCAGAGGGAAGCGGAAUUUCUGGUGUAGCGGUGAAAUGCGUAGAUAUCAGAAGGAACAUCAGUGGCGAAAGCGGCUUCCUGGACCAGAACUGACGAUCAGGCACGAAAGCGUGGGGAGCAAACAGG